This 407-nucleotide ribosomal RNA is filed under the name uncultured bacterium. Its description in RNAcentral is "partial 16S ribosomal RNA". It matches the Rfam family "Bacterial small subunit ribosomal RNA", at positions 30 to 526 of the family's 1533-position model. The record is from RNAcentral.
AUUGAACGCUGGCGGCAGGCCUAACACAUGCAAGUCGAGCGGCUCGGCGGACGCGUGCGUAAUGCCUAGGUAUCUGCCUGUUCGUGGUGGAUAACGUCCGGUACCGGGCGCUGUUACCGCAUCCUCUCACAUUCGCCUAGGUCGGAUUAGCUAGUUGGUGGGGUAAAGGCCUACCUAGGCGACGAUCCGUAGCUGGUCUGAGAGGAUGAUCAGUCACACUGGAACUGAGACACGGUCCAGACUCCUACGGGAGGCAGCAGUGGGGAAUAUUGGACAAUGGGCGAAAGCCUGAUGCAGCCAUGCCGCGUGUGUGAAGAAGGUCUUCGGGUUGUAAAGCACUUUCAGUUGGGAGGCGUUACCAACAGAAGAAGCACCGGCUAACUUCGUGCCAGCAGCCGCGGUAAUUC